AUCAGUCUGAAGCAGGCCUCGGUUACCUUGCAGAUUGGAGUAGUAGUUACUGUCAAAGGCAUCAGGUGUUGUGAGAUCAAGAUCUGUUAUCACACUCCCAUUUCCACCUUGGGGACAUAAUUCCUGAAGAGCUGCUAGAAGAGUUGUGUCCAUUGAUGGGUCAGGAGCACCGGUUCUGUUGAAAUCAAACAAUCGGAAGUCGAAUGUAGAACAUUUUGCCCUUCCAAAUGUGUGAGCACCUGAGAAGAUAAAAAGGAAAUUACAUCAAAGGAGAAUCAAUUAUAACAGAGUUUUACAGUUUAGAGUUGAGCCUGCAAAUAAUACUUACCAGAUAGAGCUACCAAAUCACUAUUAUUAUUAAGGCUGACAUUAGUGAAGCUCUCUCUGAGUUGAUCAAGGGUGAGAGAAGGGGCCGGAAGGAAAGCAUUUGCUGCAUCUCGGCUUGCUGUUGUACUAUCUCUUCUUCCUAAUGGAACUGUCCAAUUUGGACCUCCUGCCUGCAACCAUGCAUAGUUAGGGGAUUACUACUUUUCAACUCUAAACUUAUUUCUAUCUCAACUACUUCUGUCCAAACCGUCAUAAAGUCAUGUAAAAAAUUAAGUAAAUCUCAGCUUCUUUCUUUCAUUCAAUUAUGAUAAACUAUGAUAUUUGUGUUCUACGUUCUUUGACUAGAAUUAGACAACAAGAGAUCUAUUUUAUAUUUUGGGGGGGUUGAGGGAUCAUUUUAAGAUACCAAGACAACAGAUUCUUCAGCUGCAAUAGUGAGUAUAUCAGCACAGGAAACAGUAGCAGGACAGGCACUCUCCAACAAAGCCUUCAUUCUAUCAACAACUUCAAAACCUCUUGCAGAGUUGUUGUUCCCUCCGGCUUCCUUUUCGCUCACUAUAGUAUCAGUAUUGUCCAACAAAAGCGAACCAUCACAGCCCUGAAAAUAAAAUAAAAAACUUGAGAAUCACAACUUAGAUAGACGGUUUAAUAUAAUUAAGCAAUAUAAGAUGUUUCAAAGCAAUUACAUUAACAAAGCAGUCAUGGAAGUGGAGCCUGAUGAGGCUGGCUCCAAUCCGAGGAUCGGAUACCAAUGUCUCCGUAAUGACAUUACGGAUAAUGCUGCUCACAUUUGGACAUGUCUGGUCAUAAAAUGUUGGAGUAAGCUGGCCAUGAGCCAAUGUUCCUCCAAGCAAAACUACAAAGAAAAAAGUUGCAACUAUAGCCUUAGAAAGAUGCAUUUUUCUCCAAUUUCUCCUAUGAAAAUGUUUUUGUCAAUGUUAAAACUUGCAUGGGAACCCAACGUUAACGAUGUUACAGUUUAUAUAGUGAUAAAGAGGUUUGGAAGCUAAGACGCGGUUCUUUGAAUAGUAGGCAUACUUGCUUCUGAAGAUUCUUGUGCAAAGUUAUUGCACGUUGAAAGACUGUUCAGUUAUCUCUUAACCAAAAUAUCCCUCAUCUCCUCUCUUCCUUGAGCUCGCUUACCCAUCUCCCCUUGUUUCCAUCAACAAUUCAUGAUUUCCGCAGACAUCUUCACUCCUUCAAACUUAAGACAUUGCAAGCCGGUUAUAUUAUGUCCUGGUAAUUUGAUUUUGAGUGAAAUUUUGCUUAACAUGCCAACAAUUUUUAUUAUUGAAUCACCAAAAUUACAUGGUUAGUAAGGAUGGAAUAUUUUUUUUCUCAUUUAUUGUAUUCUUAAAGAGGUUUGUAAGAUGAUGCAAUGGAUUGUGGUCCUUGUGGAUUUGAUAAUUCCGCAUCUCUGCAUAUAUUAGUUUAACAAGAAGGAAGUCUGAAAUUGAAAAACUAAAAAUUCAAACUAAAAUAAUGUGGACAGAGACUAUGUGUUAGUUUUCAAAAUAUUCAUAUUGAAACACAUUUCUAUUAGUUUUGUAAUUCCGUUUUUGUCUUUUCUUUUCUUUUUUACAUCUUACGUGUACCUCGACUAAUCUCACAGACCUUUAAGUUAAUGAUCAUAAAAGCUGCUAGUAACCCUGAGGUUUAUGAAACUCAAACUAGAAAUCUUUAAAAAAUAAAUUUAAAACCUGACUAGUUGAACUCCCAUCAAAAUUAAUUUUUUUUUUUAUAUUGCUAGGUUGCUGUCAUAGGAGAGGUAAUCCUUGGUCAACCCUUUAUAUUUUAGUAGCUGUGCCUCGUACAUUGGGACUCUUGUAGUAUUAACGUUCCCUAUUUUAUGUGAUGCCAGGAAUCGGGGCUAUGAAUUGGGACUUAUUAUUUUUAUUUUCUUCAACUUCACCAAAAGAGUUAAUUAAAACUUCUUCUAAUAGCCAAUUCAUUGAAGUACAAUGCGAGCGGCAAAUACGAUAUUGACAGAAGCAUGCAUGGAGAUUUUCAUGCUGUGGGUGGUCACAUAUAAUUUUCUCACAUUUUUUAAGCAACAGUAGCACUAGAAUGCCACGAGAAAAUAUUGGUGUUCACAAAAUCAGAGGUUUUUCUGUCACAAUCGUACUUUUAACUAGGUUGUAGAUUGCCUAGCCAUUUGAUGACAUGACUUUACACAUGGUAUUGACAAAACGUUUCUUGUUCAUCACUACUCUUGUAAAGUAGGAGCAGCCAGCUGACCUGGGAGUAAAACUAGACCCAAGAAUUCUGUUACUCCGAUAAGAAGAGAAAAAAAGGAAAAGGGAAAAAGUAAAAAGUAAAAAAGGCCAAAGCACAAAUGAGGGAUUCGAUAAAAAGAGAAAAAAAGUAAAAAAGGAAAAGGUGAAAAGGAAAAAGCUCAAACGAGGGAUUCGAAUCCCUCGUUUGAGCUUUUUCCUUUACCUUUUCCUUUUUUACUUUUUUUCUCUUCUUAUCGGAGUAAUAGAAUUCUUGCGUCUGGUUUUACUUCCAGGUUACCUGGGGGAGCUAGAUUUGGGUUUAGUUUUUUUAAUCUUUCAUCACAUUAAAAUAAUUUUAAAAAAUUAAUUUAAAAUUAAAAAAAUUAAAAAUUUUCAAUAUUUUUUAAAAGCAUUUUUAAAACGUAAAUGCUUUAAUGAAAAUUCAACUCAAUCUUAAAUGAAAAAAAAUAUCAUCACCCAAUUUUUAUACAAUAUAAAAAAAGUCAUAUUAUUUUAUUUUUUCUUUACAGUAUGAAAAAAAAAUUCAAUAAGAGAAGAAAAAAAAUUAAAAAUAUCUUAAAAGGAAAAAAAAUAAAAUGAAAAAAAUUAGUUGCUGGUGUAUUGGACGCUUCCCUGCUAUGUGUUAUUCAUGGUGCUACUAUAAAAAAUAUUUUAUUUGAAUAUGGUGAUGAUACAAAUACAUUCCAUGCUUUUAACCCAACUCAAGCAUUUUUACAUUUUAAAAAAAUAUUAUUAUUGACCCGCUGCGGAGUACGGGACAAUAUGUUACCUAUCAUAUUAUUACAUAAUGGUUAUUUAAAAAAAUAUAUUGAGAUAAUAUUUUUUUAUUUUUUAAAAUUAAUUUUUUAUAUCAUCACAUCAAAAAAAUAUAAAACAUCAAAAAAUAUUAAUUUGAAUUAUAGAAAAAAAAUUUAAUUUUUUAAAGCUUUUUUAAACGUAAAAACAAAUAUGCUUUAAUAAAGAAAUUCAACUCAACCUCAAAUGAAAAAAAAAAUAUCAUCACCCAACUUUUGUACAAUAUAAAAAAAAUCUCAUCAAUUUAUUUUAUAAAAUAUCAAAAAAUAUUAAUUUGAAUUAAAGAAAAAAAAUUUAAUUUUUUAAAGCUUUUUUAAACGUAAAAACAAAUAUGCUUUAAUAAGGAAAUUCAACUCAACCUCAAGUGAAAAAAAAAAUAUCAUCACCCAACUUUUGUACAAUAUAAAAAAAUCUCAUCAAUUUAUUUUCUUUUUACCGUAUGAAAAAAAAUUAAAUAAGAGAAAAAAAAAAUCUAAAAAGACAAAAAAAUAAAAUUAGAAAUAUCUGACGGCCUAGCCAAACCCAAUAGCGUUGGGUCAGGGUGCCCAGCUAAACCCAAUAGCGUUGGUUCCAGCUGUCUUAUUAAACCCAAGAUCGAUAGGUCUGGUUGGAAGCUGGAUCCAACAACAUUAGAUUUGAUAACCAAGUUAGAUCCAACAAUAUUUUUUAAUUAAAAAACAAAAAAGAUAAUGCUUCCAUACGUGUCAUCCAUAAUAUAAACACUUUAUCUAUACAAUAUAAUUUACAGUAUAACAAAUCUAUAUUCACCGUACACGCACAAUAUUUUUUCCAUUACUUAUAAAAUAUAGUAUACUUAAUGGGAAAGAAAUCACUCAUGGUGAUAAUAAGGUAACCUGGAUCGAAUCUUGUUCGUACCAAAACAAGAUGAGAAAGAUUCUGAGGAAUAAAGUUAUCUUUCACCGUUUGAACGACAAGAAUAAAUGAAUAUUUUCACUUAUCGUACAUCUCUUUUUUUUUUAAAAAAAAAAAAAAAACUAAGUCCUGGCUUACAGGCUUGUGCUUCAAGGCUUCUCAACAUUUCGGGUUUUUCAUUGCAGAGUUAGGCCUCUUAAGUCUAGGUCUAUUAGGGUUUUUUCAGGGUUAAGUAUGAAUUUAAAAUAAAAAAUUUAUUGAAUCUAAUUGUGUUGAUAUUUUAAAUCACAAGUUUAACAAGUUAAGCCAUAAUAUUUACACUAUUUUUUUUUUAAUUUGAUAUUUUUAACUAAUAUAUUUUUUAAUAUAUUCUAAAUUUAUAUUUCAAUUAAUAUCAUUCAUCUUUGAUUUUAUUUUUGUUUAUUUAACAUUUUUUAGAUUUAUGGUAUUUUGCGUAAUUAAUUUUUGAAAAGAUUAUUUUGAAUCAUUUAUAAUUUUUUAAUCUUUUGUAUACAAGAAAUUUAUUUUUGAAAAUAAAAAAAAAACUUUCAGAUAAUAUUUCUAAUAUGCAAAACGUUGCAUGAUAUUUUUUCACUUUUAUUUUAUUUAAUCAAUUUAAUAUAUGUUUCUAUUUUUAAUAUCAAAUCAAUUUAAAUAAAUUUAGUUAACACAACCAAAUAAAUGUCUUGUCAUGCAAGAUUAAAUAUCUUGAUCUAUACUUGUCUUUUUAUUUGUAUUUUUAGUUAUCAGUUAAUAAUUUUUUUAUUUAUUAACAUAUAUAAUUUUCAAUUUAUUUCAUUAUAUAUAUGCAUGAGUUUUUCAAUUUAUACUUAUAUUUUUUAUAUACAAAAAUACAUUGAAAAAUGUUUUUUAUAUAAAUAUAUAUAUUUAAAAUAUCUAACAAGCAACAAAUCACGAGUAAAAUAACCGGCUAUAAAAACAAAUGCAGCUUUUAGGGAGAAAAAAACUAUAACAUGUAAUAAUUUUAUUUAGUAUAUUUAAUGCUAUGUAAUUCAAAAAAAUUAAUUGCAACAGGCAUAGUUUUGAAACCCAACCCGGUGGUCGACCCGGUCUAAUGAUCAGGUCACGGGUCAGUUUGGUUGACCCGGGUCAACCAAAAAAAAAAACCAAUACAACACCUAUAGAAAACACCUAACUAGUUACAAUGCAACACUUAUAUAAACCAAAUUUAAAUUUUAAACCAACAACAUAAAUUUAAUUCAAUAUCCAAAACACAAACCAAAUAUAAAUUCUAAAAUAUUUAAAACAAAACAUCUAAAAACAUAAAUUCUAAAUCAACAACACAUUCACUUUUAUUGAAUGAACACAUUAAGUUUUUCUGUGUUCAUGGGAGCAAAAUUUGAAUUAAAUGUCGAUGGAAUUGAGCCAAUCUCGUCAACACCUAAUAAAUCAUCAGCAUGCUCUUUUGAAACUUCAUCGUCACAAUCAUCUUCAAUCUCAUUAAUAUUUAUGACAUCUACAUUUCAAACACAAUUAACAAAUAAAUAUUAUGUGUUAAACAAUACUUUAUUUUCAAUAAUAUUUAUCACUAAAUAAUCAAUCAUUAAUUACCAUCAUCUAAAGUAUCUUGUAUGGUCAUUGUUGAUAGAGCAUGGUGAAAACUCUCUGUUUCUUCAGUUGUCAAAAUUGACGGGUCAUCUUCUAUUACCCAAUUUUCAAUGUCACAAAUUGUCUCAAAAUUAAUUGGAUCAUAAUUUCAUCCUUUCCAAUAAUUCCUAUAUAUUAAAAGUGAAGGUAAACACAAUAUAAGUAUUAAUAAUGCUACUAAAUAAGAUAAAAUAAUAUUUAAGGAAUUAGAGAAAAGAAAAAUAGUUUUGUUUCAAUCUUAGAUUGCAGCGGACGUAAACAAGGUCAUUAAGCCUUUAAUGCUCCAAUCUAUUUCUCUUCUUAGAGUAAAUAUGUUCUAACAUACUCCAAUUUCUCUCGCAUCCCAAAGAACUACAAGUUUGACUUAACACUCGUAUAACCAAAAGUUAUAGAUUUGAAGCACUGGUUCCAUAUGUCAUCCACCAUUCAUCUAUACAAAAAAAAUAACAAGUAAGACUGUCAAAUAAUAUUUUUAAAUAUAAAAAUUAUAUACCUGGAGGCAUAAAGGUGCGAUUAUUUAUUGCGGACGCUCGACCAAAGUCAUGUUUAGCAUUCCUAAACAACUUCAUCUCACUUGUAAUCUUACUUUGCAAUGGUAGAUUUCCAUGUGCAUAUUUCUCAAGAACAUCAAGAAGUCCAGAAAUGAUGCUCAUAUGUUUAUCCAUUAUAUUUGCAUCAUAUUGAAAUUGAGGAUUCAACCAAAAUGCCACAGCAUAAAGAUUUCUAUAUAGUUGUCCAUCCCACCGAUUAUUGAUAAUGUCUAUGAAAGGUUUCACUUUAGCCUUUCUCUUUUGAAAUCUCCUUAACAUUUCUUCUUUUGCAUGAUGAAUAUCAUCAUACAAAUAUCCCAUCGAAGGUCUAUCAUCACCAUCAACCAUUCGUAGAACUCGAACUAAAGGUUCACUCAUUCGCAUAAUUAUUGCACAUUCUUCCAAAAACAGAGAGUCUAACACACUUUCAACAAACUUUUUUCCUUUGCUAUAUUUAGCAUAAGCAGAUGAGACCCAUUCCCUAGAUGUCACCAUAGCUCUCAACUCAUUUUUAUGAGCUAAAAUGCUUUACAAUGCAAUGAAAUUGGUAGCAAAACGAGUAGGAGUUGGAUGAAGUAUUUCUUUUCCUCCAGUGAACUUCCUUGUCAAAUAUAAUGGAUAACAAUGAUUAUAAAUGUACUUUAUGAUACCAGAAGCAUGCUCAACAACAGAACAAACUGACUGCAAUUUACCAAUGUCCUGAAGUAUGAGGUUGAUACAAUGAGCAGCACAAGGAGACCAAAAUAUUAAAGGAAAUUCUUCCAUCAAUAACUUGCUAGCAACAACAUAAUUUGCAGCAUUAUCAGUCAUCAUAUGCACAAUGUUUUCUACCCCAACAUACAAAACAACCUCUCUAAACAACUGAUGCAACAAUCUAGCAGUCUUUAAGACAUCUGAUACAUCCACAGUUUUUAAAAAAUUGUUCCUUUAAGACAAUAUACUAAGAAGUUAAUUAAAGUCCUCCUCUUCUGAUCUGUCCAUCCAUCAGUCAUUAAUGUGUAACCAGUCUUCUUCCAAAUCUCUCGAUAACUCUUAACAUAAAUCUUCACUUCAUCAACCGCUUUUGCCAAAUAAUAACCACGAAUAACAUGCAAGUUUGGUCCUUUAUAACCAGGACCCAUGGUUGUUACAACAUCUAUGGCAUGCUAAUAAUAGACAGAGUUAACAGCAUUAAAUGGCACACAUGCAUCAAUCAUCCACUUCGAUAAAGCAAGAUCACACCAUUUAACCGCUUCCUUCCUUUGCCAAUAAUUUUGAAGAGACUUUUGAGCACCAGGAGUUGUUCUCGGCAUGAAAUAUGUCCCUAAUGUUGUAGAUUUCUUCUGCUUUCCAUAACUUGUAGUUGAUUGUUUUACAGUGCUGGUGCUUUGAAUUUUUUUCUUUUUUGCAACCUUCGGCGGGAACAUAUGUUUUUUAGUAUUGACAUCCUCACCAUCCUCACCAUCAUCAUCAUCUUCUAAUUGCCUAAUCAUCAUCUCUUCAUGCUCUCUUUGUUGUGCAUUAAAUGGAUUAAAAUCUGCUUGCAUUUCUCUAACUCUUUUUUUUUUCAACAUUUCCUUUAAAAUUCAAAAGCAUUUGAUGUUGAACAUCAGGAGGACAUUUGCGACAUUGAUCAACUUCUCCUUUAGCUCCAGUUAAAUGUUGCUUAAAUCGAUUAAUGCCACCACCCGCAAAUACUUUAGCACAAUAUAAACAUACUAAUUUAGUUUUUUUACAUCCAACACUAAGUUCAGGAGCUUCUCUACAAUGACCCCAUGCCAAAUCUGUUCUUCCUCUACUACCACUUGAUAUGGAAAUUGAAGGUUGAGAUGAUUGAGCCGUUGAUGGAUCACUACUUGGAGUACUACCAUCAUGUGAAGAUAUUUUAAGGACUUGAUAUAAUUUCUAAACACAGAACCAUAACGAACCUGACAAAAUAGAAAGUCGCAUCUGACUAUAAUAAAUAGAUAUACUAUGAUAGAAGAAACAUAUCCAGCAGUUAGAACUACAAGAUAAUUUAUUCUAAAGAUUUGGGAAAACAUGCUUCUCACUCUCCCUGUUUCUACCAGAAAAUCAAAGAAUUUAGUCUUAUCAUACAAGAAAAAGACAUUAUGUGACAUUUUGUGCCAGAUAUAUUUCCAUAGGCAUUGAAUUUGGAAGCCAAGCUUAGGCAACUUGGCAAAAAUCAAUAAUUGAAGGUGCUUAAAGUUCAGGUCACUAGACAAUUAAGGACACAACAAGGAAGAACUAUAAACAUAUUUUAAAAAAAUACAGAAACAGAGAAAUAUCAUAAAACAAAUUUAAACAAUUCUUAUCGUUACAAAGUGCAUAAGUUGCCAGUAACAAGUAACCUAAUUUCAUAAACCAAUUUUACAGUUAUGCAUCUUGCUUGUGAAGACUGUCUAUCUAACCACUCCAUCUGGGAUAUCCAUUUCUCAUUCUAACCAUAGAAAAGGAAGGCAAAAGGGUGCAUCAGGCUUCACACAUUCAUUCAAUGUUUCAUAUGGUUGAGAUCAAGAUAAAUAUGGUUCCAAAACAAAAUAAGACAAAUAUAGUUCAAGGACAUCAUACCAUGCACAAUGUCUUACAUAAUCCAUUACUUCUUCAUGGUAUUCAUUACGAGCUUCUUUCAGGCGUCUUAAUUUCUCACAACAAGCACGUUCUCUUAUUUGUUUGUCAGUUUCUUCACUACUUCAUAAUCCAUUUUCUACACGUCUUCAUUGCUUCAAUAAACUAUGAAGUAGUACUGAGGAGUUUCUAAUAUGCAGCUUACGAAAAAAUAACUGAAAUAAAUCAAGAAAAAUAAGGCAGAGGCUUUAUUAAAUGGCAGAAAAGAAAAGAACAGAGAAACAUACUUGUGGGUGUGAACUGCGAAUCGAUGCCAGAUCAAGAACUGCAAGUUCAAAAAAAGGCAAAGAAUAAAGAAAAGAGAGAGUGAAAGAAGGAGAUUCAUGAAGAGAAACAAGAGUCUAACCUUAUUCGCAGAUUUGAAACAGUGAUCAAGAGUCUUCUGCUCCUCUGCUCUUCGCGAUUGAAAUUGCUUUUUCUUUAAUUAUGUUUUCUCUCUGUCUACAAUUCUGCAUCGUUCAUCUUCAUCGGUUUAGUCUUUUAAAAGGCCAAAACGAGGUCGUUUCAUGUCUAUAUAUAUAUAUAGAGGCCGGGUCUUAGUUGAGUUUACCCAGGUCGCUGACUCGAAGCCCAACUCGAGCCAUAUUUUACUUUAAAAUACUAUGUUUUUUAAACUUAAACGACAUAGUUUUUUUUUUCCUAAAAAAACCAUAGCUUUAAUUGACUUGUUAAUCUACAUGUCAACCCGUGACCCAGGUUUUUGGCUGGGUUGACCCCUGAAUUCGGUUUACUUAUGGUUUCUAUUAGAUUAGAGACUGAAAUGUUUUUCUAUCUACAUACUUAAUUUAAGAUUUAACGAUAAUUUGAGAGGAAAUAUGUUAUUUGGGAAAAAAAAGCCAAAUUAAUAAUCAAGAAUCCACCCACUCGUUCCAAUUUUUAUCCACCGACGAUGUUAAAAGGCAUUAACAGAAAAGCUAAAUCAUGUGGUAAAAAUCAUGUUCAUCAAGACUCAUGAGACUGUGGAUUGGAACAGUCCCUUAGGACAUAGACUCAUUUAUUUUAUUAUUAUUCUUUUAUAGAUUAGUACCCAUAUUACUAUUUACCUAGACACAAUUCAUUGUGGAUUGGAGCAAUGUAAUAAUAGAGUUGUCCUUACCAUAAAGAGUUGCAAAGACUGCAGGGGGAUUGGGGUUGUCUUUUCACUGGGAUGCAUUUGGCAUUGAAUGGAUGGUUGGAGAGAAAAUGGUCAAUUUCGAUUUUGGUGGGGCUUGGUAAGGCUACAAACCCCAGGCUGCAGACACCUAGCGGCAGGCUUGUGCUUAGGGCUCGGAAGCCCUGGGCACUUGACUAGAGUCGUGCGCCAUGUUGGGUUGUAGACCUAUUCGUUUGGGUCUGCAUUCUUAGGUGUUAGGGCCGAUCGCGCACAUGGCUGCAGAACCAGGUGAGCGCGUCUGCAGACCCGCGUGCCUUUGUUUGCAGGUCACACAUCUCGAUGGCAGACCCGAGCGUCUGGGUCUAGUGACUGCGUGCAUGACCCAAGAGAAUUGAGUCCUAACAAGGACCCAUUAGCUUUGGGGCUUGACAUAGGACCCGUUAGCCUUAGGUCCUGACGCGUGAUUCAUUAGCCGUGAGUCAUAACCCCAGACCUAGGAGCAUUGGGUUCUAACGUCGGAACCAAAAGAAUUAUAAUAAAAAUUGUCAUAACUCAAUUUUGGACAAUAUGAAUGAAAAAAUGAAAUGAAUGAAAAAUUGAGGUUUUGACUCAAGACAACACAAAUUUAGCUUUGAGGGGUUAAUCAUGUUGGAUUUAUGACUUUGGAAGUUAAUGUUGAAAGAAAUGGAAAGAAUUUACUGGUAUGGGGUUCCAAUUAAACUUUGAUUGGGUUUAAUUAAUGAUAUCGGGAAUUUGAUUGAAGAAUGAAUAAGUUUAAGGAUUUAAUUAAGCUUAGAAUUAGUUUAAUUAAUGAAAUCAGGGGCAUAAUCGAAUCAAUAUUAAACUUCUGAGUUAAUUAAGGACAAAAUUACAAGUGAUUAUGGUCCAGGGACCAUUUUGUAAAAGGCGCUGAAAUUCUGUCUAGGGGCCCGAUUAAAAUGUUGAAACUUGCAGGACCAAAUUGAGAAUGGUCAUUUUCAAUCCAAAACGCACCAUUUCAAGCAUGCGUUGUUUCUCUUCUUCUUCCUCGGACGCUGAAAGCCCGCCUGCAAAGAAGGAAUGGAAAUGUUAAAACACCGGCAUCCCAGUCCAACCAGAACUCAAUUUGCAAAGCUUAUCUUUGAGGCCUUAUCACGAUCCUGGGAAGAUAAGUAGCAUGACAGCCUAUAAAAGGCAGGGGAUCGCAAGAACAAGGGAUAGAGACCGAAAAAAAAAGGACCAGAAAACAGAGGAACAAAAAACCCAAAAGAAAAUGAGAACCCAGAACAAAUAAAAAACACAAGAGCAAGGGAAAUAAGAACAUUCUCCGGACAAGACCAUCACUUUCAUCUUCGUCUCCGCCUUCGCCAUCGUCAUUGCCGGGUAAGGCCUUCCUUUUCCCUUUGUUUAUGUGUCUCUAGUUGCAAAAGAAGAAAACAAGGCGAAGGUAAUUUAAUUACCUUCGCCCUGUGCAGCACACGCGUGGUUUGAACCACGCGUGCCUGUUGCCCAGCCGGAUCACUGGCUUAGGCCAGUGACCGCGCUAGGCCGGCUGAGUCUAACCCAUCCCAUGUGGGCUGGGCUAGACUCAACCCCCCUCCAUAAAAAAAGAAGGAGGAGUGGGCCGGGUCUAGACUUUACGCCCAGCCGGGCCAAAGUGUGUUUGCUAAAGUUGUGUUUUUGCCUUGGCCAUAAUUUUUAUGCUCAUUCUAGUUUGAUGUGUGGCCAAACGAGUCCCUUUUCGGCAUCAAAAAAUUCUAAAAAUAUUUGGGGGUCUUCGUUGAUUUAUUUGUGGCCCCUCGCACUUUAUUUUAUUUUUUUUCUUUGUGCUUGUAUUUUUUUGUUUUAGCUAUGUGCUCAACCUGUGGACUAUUAUUGUUGAAUGCAAAUAUGUCGCGCAAGGAUUUUUUUUUUCCAUCUGAAAAGGGUCAAUAAAAAUAAAGGAUAAACAAGAAAAAUGGCAUAAAAAAUUUCUUCUUCAAAUUUUUUUUUUUUACGAAAAUAUUCACUGACGCUAGAGUCAGGAGUAUCGCAUUUUUUUGGAUUUGCGCGAUAUUUACCAACGCCAGAGUUGGAAAUAUUCGUAGGAAUUGUUCACUGGCGCUAGAGUCAGGAACAUGAAAGGAAGGAUAAAAAAGAAAAAAGAGAACAAAUUCUUAGCAAUUUUAAACAAAACUAGCAAUGCAGUCUGCCUUAGGUAUGACGCUCAAGGGAUGAUAGCAUCUUCCCUUUUGCGUAACCAAUCCCGUAUCAUAGAAUCUCUAUUGACCAGUUUAGGGUUCCUAGUGACCAUAAUACUAGGUGGCGACUUCUUGAACAAGACAUUUUCCCCUAAAAGAACAAGAUGUCAGAUAUCUGUUCUUUUCCAAUCGAGUGUUAAUUUGUAAUCGAUCGCCGUGAUGUCCGAGUGUGACAAAAAUAAUAAUAUUUAUACCACAAAUAAUAAUAUUUUUGAUAUUAAUACUUUGAAUUAUAAUAAAAAUAAUAAUUUUAUACCAUAAAUAAUACUAUUUUUUAUAUUGAUACGUUCAAUUAUAAUAAAAAUAAUAAUAUUUAUAUCACAAACAAUACUAUUUUUAGUAUUAAUACUUUCAAUUAUAAUAAAAAUAAUAAUAUUUAUAACACAACUUACAAUAUAUAUAUAUAUAUAUAUAUAUAACACAAAUAAUACUAUUUUUAAUAUUUAUACGUUGAAUUAUAAGUUGUCCUUGCCACAUAGAGUUGCAAGAACACCAGAAGGGAGGGUGGGGUUAUCUUUUUCCUAGUAUGCACAUAGAAUUGAAGGGAUGGUUAGAGAGAAAAUAAUCAAUUCAAGUUUUGGUGGGGCUGUAGGCCCCGACAGUGUACACCUGGCAUUGGGGCAUGCAAGCCCUGGGCAUUUGGCCAGAGUUGUGCUCCACGUGGGGCUGCAGACACCUGGCACUAGGCUGCAGCGCUGGGCGCUAAGGCCAACUGGGCGCAUGGUUGCAGCUCCGGCAAGCGGGUUUGCUGACCCGCGUGCCCGGGGACUGCAAACUUGGUCUGCAAGCCGCGUGCUUGGGUGUGUAGACCUGCGACAUGACCUAACAUAAUUGAGUCCUGACAAUGAUCCAUUAGCCUAGGGGCCUGACGCAGGAUCCAUUAGUUGUGUGCCGUGACCCCAAACCUAGAAGCAUUGGGUCCUGACACCGGAUCCAAUAGUAUUGGGUCCUGACACAGGACCCAUAGCUACUGGGUCUUGACGCAGGACCCAACAGAAAAGCUAAAUCAUGUGGCAAAAGUCAUGUUCAUCAAGACUCAUGGGACUGUGGAUUGGAACAGACCCUUGGGACAGAGACACAUUUUUUUAUUAUUAUUAUUAUUAUUAUUAUUAUAGACUCAAUGACCUGUUGCUGUUUACCUAGACAUAAUUCACUGUGGAUUGAAGCAGUGUAAUAGCAGAGUUUCCCUUACCACAGAGAGUUGUAAAGAUUGCAGGGGGAGGGUGGGGUUGUCAUUUAUUGGGAUGCAUUUGGAAUUGAAUGGAUGGUUGGGGAGAAAAUGAUCAAUUUUGAUUUUGUUAGGGCAUGGUAAGGAUGCAGGCUGCAGACACCUGGCAUGAGGACGCGCCUGGGUCAAUAACCCGUGCCUGGGGCGCAGAAGCCCUGGGCGCUUGGCCAGAGUCAUGCGCCACGUGGGCUGCAGGCCACCUGACGCUAGAGCCAACCACGCAUAUGGCUACAGAACCAGGCGAGCGAGUCCGCAGACCCGAGCACCUGGAUCUGGAGACCGCGCGCACGACUCAAGAGAAUUUGGGUCCUGAUAAGGACCCAUUAGCUUUGGGGCCUAACGCAAGACCCAUUAACCAUGGGUCGUGCCCAUAGUUUUUAAACCUUACCCGGUGGUUGACCCAAUAUAAUGAGCUAGUCACGAGUUAGAUGGGUUGACCCGGGUUAACCCUAAAAAGAAGAAGCAUAUAGUUUAGUUAAAAUAUUGGUUAGCAACAGCCCUUAAGGAAUGCUAACAUGGCAAGAUUACAAAGCAAUGUCUUUUACUCAGUGUGUAAGUGAUGCAUAUUAUAAUUGUCCUUAAUUAAUCCCCUACUAUCCAUGGCACCCACGAGUACCACCAGGAGACCUUGAACAAUCUCAGGAUUGCUAUGCAAAACAUCAACAUCCUCUCUGCUGUCAUACUCGAUACCAAGGUCUCUGCUCUUUUUUCCAUCCCUCACUCUCCCAAUUAAUUACUCCUACUAGUAACCUAAAUUUUUAUUUAUUUUUUUAUUACUACUAAUCUUAAUCAUCGUAGUUCUUCUUUCUUUCUAUCCAUCCACCCUUCCAUCUACCACUCUCUACCUGCCUUUCUAAUAUGUAUUAUACGCAGUUGAUGAUGUAUUUUUCCUUGUCAAUUAAUUAGGCAUCUACAAUCACAUCAGUUUUAUUACUUGGUUUUCAUUGAUUAAAACCAUUUGGAUCUAAUCAUCUACUGAUUAUAAUCAUAGAUGAUUAGAUUCUCUCAAUCUGUUGUUAACAGGAACAAAAAAAAGGCAAGAAACAGAGCCAGAUUCAAGCAAAACUUAGGCAAGGAACACAAAAUGAUUGACAUAUAAACAGGGCAGAAAUAGGGCAAGGAACAGAAAUCUAUCUUACAUAAAUGAAAAGCCAGUGAAUUAAACAACCUAUCUUACAUCCAUGAAGAGAAACGAAACCAGUGAAGAACAGAAAUCUAAGAGAGAAGAAAAUCGAAGCGAAACAAAAAAUUAUCUCAUAUCAAAUCAGUGCUUUCAUAAACAAAAAACUAAAGAGAAACAAGUAACAACAGCUUCAUUUGACCUUGAUUUACAGAUCUUAACUAAAGACAACCAAAUCAAUAAAAGAAACAAACACCCUGCAAAAACAAAUUUAAAGUUUGUUGAGGGCCUCUUCUUGUUAUUCUAACCAAAAAAGAGACGGGGACUUACCUGGUAUGGCUUGCGUGUGCCUUAAAUUUCUCUAUAACUGAUAUGGCUAUGAACUUUGAAGAUUGAAGAGAUUAGGUUUUCUAAUUCUAUGAAUUGUGAUUAUGUCUUCACGUUGCAAUACAAAUGAUUUGGUUAAUUAAUAGUAAAAAGCUAAAGCCAAAAACGACCAGUUCUCAACUAGGUUAACCCGGGUCGACCAGGUUUUACCGGGCCAAAUCCCUUGCUGGUUUUUUCAUCAACUUGGCCCGGUUCCAGCCCCGAGUCCCGGGUCAACCUGCCGGAUCGGGUUUUAAAACUAUGGUCGUGCGUCAGGACCUAAGGGUAAGGGAUCCUACGUCAGGACCCAAUUCUCUUGGGUCCUGCUUUAGGACUCAAGGUUAAUGGGUCCUGCAUUUGGACCCAAGGGUAAGGGAUCAUGUGUCAGGACCCAAUUUUCUUGGGUCCUGUGUUAAGACCUAAAGGCAAUGGGUCUGGCAGGACCUAAUUCUCUUGGGCUUAGGUUUCUAAAUAUAAUUAUUUGUAUUAUAAAUAUUAUUAUUUUUAUUUUAAUUGAAAGUAUUAAUAUGAAAAAUAGUAUUAUUUAUGGUAUAAAUAUUAUUAUUUUUAUUAUAAUUAAUAGUAUUAAUAUUCAAAAUAUUAUCAUUUGUGUUAUAAAUAUUGUUAUUUUUAUUAUAAUUAAUAUUAUUAAUAAAAAAAUAAUAUAUUUGAAAAAAAAUUAUAUUAAUAUUGAAAAACAACCAUAGAUUUGAUUUGAAGAAUUAUUAUUAUUAUCAUCAUCAUCAUUAAUAAAUUUUAAGAAAACUAUUAUUACUAUCAAAGAAAAACCAUAAUUUUUUUAAAAAGAUUAAAAAUAUAAAAAUUUAGACAGACAACUUAAAUAUAAUAUUAUAAAUAUUAUUGUUGGAUUUGAUGUUGCAACCAGACUCAACGCUCUUGAGUCUGCCGUUGCAGCCAAACCCAAUGCUUUUUGGUCUUAAAUUUUUAUGAUAUUUUUUAUGAAAAUAAAAGGUGAGCCCGCGACAUAGUGCGGGCAUCUAAAUAAUGUAAAAUGUAUUAUAAAACCCAACCUGAAUGCUUAAUUGAAAUCUAACCCAAGAUAUAUAUUUGUAUAUACACACACUUCAAAUAUAUUUUUUCACUUUAUUUUAUUUGAAUAAUAAAUAAAAGUUGGAUAAUAAUAUUUUAUUUGAAUAUAUUUUAUUUUAUUUUUUCAAGAUAAUAAAUAUUUAAAAAAAAUACUGGAAUGAAAACAUGAUUGGUUGCAAAAUAACAUCCGGACUGAUUCUUUAAGAGAUUUUUACUGGAACUAAUUAAUCUUGUCUUGCACAGAACAGAUACAUCAAAAAAAGACUAAAAUGAGCAGGACAGCACUAUCGGAACUCUUAUCAGAGGCACUCGGAUUUCAUAGCGACUGAAUUGGUGGUCUGCCAUUAUUACCAGGCUUGUCCUGGACGGCUGAACCUGACUUGACGCUGGGUGCCGUCAACCACACACACAUUGAAAUAGACAUGCAUGUGAUAAUUUUAUUUACUAUAUUUAAUGCUACGUGAUUCAACAAAAUUAAUUGCAACAGGACAAUGGAAGAAAAAGGACAAACAAAAUUAAUUUAAUGCGAAUACUCUUCUAUGGUCAGAAAUAGAAGGGUCCCGUGGUGAAAGUGAUUACUGAGAUAAUUGACAAACGGACAGACAAAUGGAAAAGUCCACAACCUUGGAAAGCAGUCUUUCACCGGCUACCAUAUUUCUGGGUAAUGGCAAUAAUUGUCCCCCAAUUAUCACAUGAUUUUCAGCUUGGUCCCCAAACAAAAACAAUUCCCAUUUGGAUUUGUUAUCUAUCAAACAAUACCCAAUUAAGGUUAACUUGGUAGUUUUCAAAAUAGUUAUAAAACUUUUUUAGCUAAGUCAAUCUAGUGACUCGCUGAUUCGGAGUCCGACUGAAAUACUAUGUUUUUUAAACUUAAACGACAAUCUUUUUUUCUUCCUUAAAGAACCAUAGCUUUAAUUGACUUGUUAAUUUAUGUGUCUUCCUGUGACUCGGUCUUUGGCUGGGUUAACCCCUAAAUUGGGUAUAAUUAUGGUUUCCAAUAGAUUAGGGACUUGAUAUGACAUGUUUUUAUUUACAGAUUUAAUUUAAGAUUUAAUGAUAAUUUGGGGGGAAAUAUGUUAUUUGGGGGAAAAAACGGAAUUAAUAAUAAAAAAUCCAGCUAUUCAUUCUAAUUUUUAUCCACCGAUAGUACGUUAAAAGGCAUAUAAUAUAAUUUAGCUCAUCUUUUCUUAAAAAAUAAUCAGAAGUAAAAAUAGCAAUAUCAUAGUCAAUUACAUCAGAAAAGACCACAGGAAAAAUUUAAAAUAAUUCAUUUUAGCACAGCUUUUAACAUGGAAAGAAAAACAAAUUAUUUUUUUAUUAAAACAAUAUUGUUUUAUAAAGUUAAUCUAACCAAGUUUAGAAUAGAUUCUACAAGACUCUCGGAUUAUAUUUUUUCUGAAUUAAUUUAAAACUCAAUCACAAUGAGGUAAGGAUCAUAAAUUUAUCGAAUCAAUAAGACUUAACAUAUAUGCAUUUUUUAGUGUGUGAAAAAAUGUCAACAAGACUCCAUUUGGUAUUCAUUUUUCAUCACUCUAAUAUUUAUUACAGUGCAUAUGAUCGCUUAUUAUCACCUGCUUCUUGGCAUAUAGCCUUUCAUUCAAAUUGAGCUAACAAGCAUGCUAUCUGGCCCAGCCAAGUUUGCAUUGACUACCCUGCAGUUCAAUCUGAUCUCUCCUUCAGUUCCUGUCAGAGGGCUGAGAUUUCCCAUUCUUAUCAUGGACUCCACAAAGCUUUCAAAGAAAGCUGUUUGAUUAGCACUGAAAGCGUUAACAAGUGCAAUGAGAUCAUCUGCCCCAGGAGUUGAAAACAGUUCUUGAUCAGUCUGAAGCAGGCCUCGGUUACCUUGCAGAUUGGAGUAGUAGUUACUGUCAAAGACAUCAGGUGUUGUGGGAUCAAGAUCUGUUAUCACACUCUCAUUUCCACCUUGGGGACAUAAUUCCUGAAGAGCUGCUAGAAGAGUUGUGUCCAAUGAUGGGUCAGGAGCACCGGUGCUGCUGAAAUUAUACAAUCGAAAGUCGAACGUAGA
Molecule: long non-coding RNA, 18079 nt
Filed under: Populus trichocarpa (black cottonwood)
Lineage: Eukaryota; Viridiplantae; Streptophyta; Magnoliopsida; Malpighiales; Salicaceae
Description: long non-coding RNA (PTRI_LNC000014)
Source: RNAcentral